Molecule: ribosomal RNA, 349 nt
Filed under: Cryptolestes punctatus
Lineage: Eukaryota; Metazoa; Arthropoda; Insecta; Coleoptera; Laemophloeidae
Description: partial 12S ribosomal RNA
Source: RNAcentral
UAAUUAUGUAAAUAUUUAAACUAGAUUAGUAUUAGUUAUGUUCUUGAAAAUUAAAGAUUUUGGCGGUAUUUUAGUCUAUUCAGAGGAACCUGUCCUGUCAUUGAUAAUCCACGAUUAAAUUUACUUAUAUUAAUUAGUUUGUAUAUCGUCGUAAUAGAAUAUUUUAAAAGAAUAAAAUAUUCGAGAUUUUAAAUUUAAAAAUAAAUCAGAUCAAGGUGCAGCUUAUAUAUAAGAAGAGAUGGGUUACAUUAAAUUAUAUUUAUGGAUUUAAAUUUAAAAAAUUUAAUUAAAAUGGAUUUGAUAGUAAUUUUUUAUAUAUUUUAAAAAUGAUUUAAGCUCUAAAAUAUGC